This 496-nucleotide ribosomal RNA is filed under the name uncultured bacterium. RNAcentral describes it as "partial 16S ribosomal RNA". It matches the Rfam family "Bacterial small subunit ribosomal RNA", at positions 29 to 507 of the family's 1533-position model. The record is from RNAcentral.
AACGAACGCUGGCGGCGCGUCUUAAGCAUGCAAGUCGAACGGCAAGAGAGGAGCUUGCUUCUCUCCUAGAGUGGCGGACUGGUGAGGAACACGUGGGUAAUCUACCCUUAAGAUGGGGAUAGCUGCUAGAAAUAGCAGGUAAUACCGAAUACACUCGGCAUAUCACAAGAGGUGUUGAGGAAAGGAAGCUACGGCUUCGCUUGAGGAUGAGCUUGCGUCCCAUUAGCUAGUUGGUGAGGUAAAGGCCCACCAAGGCGACGAUGGGUAUCCGGCCUGGGAGGGUGAACGGACACAUUGGGACUGAGAUACGGCCCAAACUCCUACGGGAGGCAGCAGCUAAGAAUAUUCCGCAAUGGACGGAAGUCUGACGGAGCGACGCCGCGUGGAUGAAGAAGGCUGAAAAGUUGUAAAAUCCUUUUGUUGAUGAAGAAUAAGGGUGAGAGGGAAUGCUCAUCUGAUGACGGUAAUCGACGAAUAAGCCCCGGCUAAUUACGUG